Molecule: ribosomal RNA, 289 nt
Filed under: uncultured bacterium
Lineage: Bacteria
Description: partial 16S ribosomal RNA
Rfam family: Bacterial small subunit ribosomal RNA
Source: RNAcentral
GUGGAUUAGAUACCCGGGUAGUCCACGCUGUAAACGAUGUGUGCUAGACGUUGGAGGGGAACCUUCAGUGUCGCAGCUAACGCAUUAAGCACACCGCCUGGGGAGUACGGUCGCAAGAUUAAAACUCAAAGGAAUUGACGGGGGCCCGCACAAGCGGUGGAGCAUGUGGUUUAAUUCGACGCAACGCGAAAAACCUUACCAGCUCUUGACAUGGGUAUUUUGGAUUUCAGAGAUGAGAUCCUUCAGUUCGGCUGGAUACCACACAGGUGCUGCACGGCUGUCGACAACU